Molecule: non-coding RNA, 46 nt
Filed under: Trypanosoma lewisi
Lineage: Eukaryota; Euglenozoa; Kinetoplastea; Trypanosomatida; Trypanosomatidae
Source: RNAcentral
AUAUAACGAUGAUCAUCAAAGUUUUACUCGGUGUGAAUGUUUAGUG